RNAcentral lists this long non-coding RNA (2440 nucleotides) under Mus musculus (house mouse). Its description in RNAcentral is "long non-coding RNA chr4:41005690-41008130". The record is from RNAcentral. Lineage: Eukaryota; Metazoa; Chordata; Mammalia; Rodentia; Muridae.
GAACAAGUAGGUAAAUAAUAAUAAAAUAACAAAAAAUUAUUGAGGGGAAGAAAAAAAGAAAAAAAUUAUUGAACUUGGUUUUUGUUUAGAGAAGCAAUAUUAAAUUAUUAGCCUGCCACUGUGGAACCUCUGUAUAAUUUAAAUUAAAUUAUACAAAAAUGUAAGCCACACGAUCGGUGUUGUGUCAUUUAUUAUGGUACUUUUUUAAAGAUUUAUUUUAUUUUUAAUUAUAAGUGUGUGUGUGUGUGUGUGUGUGUGUGUGUGUGUGUGUGUGUACAUGAGUGAAGAGGCCAGAAAUCAGUGUCAGAUCCCCCUGGAACUGGAGUUAUAAGUGUUUGUGGGGUUCUUACUAGAUUCCUAUGAGCUAAACUCUAGUCCACUGAGCUAUUUCUCCAGCCUACUAAUAUAACAUCUUUUAAAAGUUAUAUUUUGUGUGUGUGUAUUUUAUGUAUAUUCCUUUUUUUCUAAAAAUGAGGUUCUACUGAAUGUUGUAAUGAUUUUAAACUUGCUUUUUUUGUUGUUGUUAUUAUUAUCUUUACAUGUGUUGGAGUGUGUUUAUUGGGGUGUUUUCUGAGGGGUUGAGACAGUCAUGGUUUAUAGCUAGCCUGAUCUCCAGCUUCCUGUGUCUUAUUAGGCUGGCCUCAAAUUCUUGAUCCUUCUGCCUCUGUGUCGGUUGCUGAGGUUACAAGCAUACAGCAUCAUAUCUGUAUAAUGUACAUAAAAUGUAAUACCAAUUUGUAUUCACUCACUUAUAUACUUAUUUUAAAUUUUAUUUGUAUGCCAUAGCACACAUAGAGGUCAGGGGACAACCUUCAAGAAUUGGUUUUCUCUACCAUUUAGGUCCUAAGGAUCACUCUCAGGUUGUUGGAUUUGGUGACAAGCAUCUUCAUCCACUAAGCCAUCUUGCCCCACCCACACAUGUUUUAUUUUUAUGUGUUGUAUGGGUGUUUUGCCUCCAUGUUUGUCUUGUCUAUACAACAGUUGCAUACAGUGUCCACUAAAGAAGAGGGAGUUGGAAACUCUGGAACUGGAGUUACAGAUAUUUGUAAGGUGCUAUUUAGAAUCAAACUGGGGUCCUCUAGUCUUUUUUUUUUUAAGAUUUAUUUAUUAUAUAUAUUUGAAUAUAUAUAUUAUUAUUUAUUAUAUGUAAGUACACUGUAGCUGUCUUCAGACACUCCAGAAGAGGGCGUCAGAUCUUGUUACAGAUGGUUGCGAGCCACCAUGUGGUUGCUGGGAUUUGAACUCCAGACCUUCGGAAGAGCAGUCGGGUGCUCUUACCCACUGAGCCAUCUCACCAGCCCGGUCCUCUAGUCUUAACUGCCAAGCUAUCUCUCCCACCCCCAGCAUUGAUUUUUAAAAUAACAGUAGUGUGACCAUUACAUCAGUGGUUCCCAACCUUCCUAAUGCUGAAACCCUUUACGUCAGUUCCUUGUGUUGGGGUGACCCCUAACCAGAAAUUAUUCUCACUACUAUGUCAUUACUAUAAUUUUGUUAUUAAUUGUAAUGUAAAUAUCUGUUUUCCAAUGGUCUUAUGCAACUCCCUGUGAAAGGAUUAUUCAACACCCCCCUCCAUCUACUUCCCCCAAAAAGAGGCAACAACCCACAGGUUGUUACUGGAUAAACCAUUUUUCUAGUCCAUAUUAUGUUAUUGGAUAUUUGUUUUUAGUUUUUCUCUGAUAAUUGCACAGGUACCAGGCCAAAAACAAUUUGAAAUCACACUGCAUUUUUCCCUGUACCCAGUGUAGUUGCUAACUGUUGUCCUGGAUCAUAUUGGAGGCUGCUGCUUGACAGGACUUUUCCUGAGGAGACACAAAACAUCUACUCCCCCAGAUAGGGGAUCCACAACAGAUCAAAGUACAGAUACCACCAAAAUCCAGCUUGGUGAAUCAAUCAAUGACCUUUAUUGGUGUUAUUUACAAGAAUGGGUGAGGAAUUACUUAGAGGAACAUCUGGAUCAUCAUAACCCAUCCCUCACAGUUCACAGCUCCCCAAAUCUGAGAACCUAAAACACACCUCACAGCCUGCAGGCAGCUCAGCAGAUUGGAGCUUUCCUGGUGCCCUAGUUUGUCUCCUCCAGGCAGCUGGCCUUGUGUCGGGUCUUUGCAGAUUGGCUAGUCUGAAAGUGAGUCUGCUGUCUGUUGUUUACUCUGGGAGGGAGGACUGCCCUAGUCAAGCGGGUCCGCGGGUCCGUUUCAAGUACUUCCUGAAACUAUUUUGAAUUCCUUUAGUUCUGGUUUAAGGAACUUCCCUACAGGGUGGGAUGUUUCUAUCUCAGAGGAAACCGAUACGCAACAGGUGCAUUGUUUCAUUUACCAAAGCCCUAUGAAAUAACUCAAGGCACAGGAGAUGGAAUAGCCACACUAAGUCUAACCGUGUGGUUUGAACUUAAAAUUAGAGGACUUGCUCUUAGUCUUUUAAGUUAAUAUAGUAAAACAGAACU